RNAcentral lists this transfer RNA (77 nucleotides) under Desulfosporosinus sp. RNAcentral's name for it is "tRNA-Lys". It matches the Rfam family "tRNA". Rfam says of the family: Transfer RNA (tRNA) molecules are approximately 80 nucleotides in length. Their secondary structure includes four short double-helical elements and three loops (D, anti-codon, and T loops). RNAcentral also lists the same sequence under 3 other names. The record is from RNAcentral. Lineage: Bacteria; Bacillati; Bacillota; Clostridia; Eubacteriales; Desulfitobacteriaceae.
GGGCCAUUAGCUCAGUUGGCUAGAGCACCUGACUUUUAAUCAGGGUGUCCCGCGUUCGAGUCGCGGAUGGCCCACCA